RNAcentral lists this ribosomal RNA (561 nucleotides) under uncultured bacterium. RNAcentral describes it as "bacterial SSU rRNA". It matches the Rfam family "Bacterial small subunit ribosomal RNA", at positions 338 to 916 of the family's 1533-position model. The record is from RNAcentral.
CCUACGGGAGGCAGCAGGGGGGAAUAUUGGACAAUGGGCGAAAGCCUGAUCCAGCAAUGCCGCGUGAGUGAUGAAGGCCUUCGGGUCGUAAAGCUCUUUUACCAGGGAUGAUAAUGACAGUACCUGGAGAAUAAGCUCCGGCUAACUCCGUGCCAGCAGCCGCGGUAAUACGGAGGGAGCUAGCGUUGUUCGGAAUUACUGGGCGUAAAGAGUACGUAGGCGGUUAUUCAAGUCAGAGGUGAAAGCCCGGGGCUCAACCCCGGAACUGCCUUUGAAACUAGAUAACUAGAGUCUUGGAGAGGUUAGUGGAAUUCCGAGUGUAGAGGUGAAAUUCGUAGAUAUUCGGAAGAACACCAGUGGCGAAGGCGACUAACUGGACAAGUACUGACGCUGAGGUACGAAAGCGUGGGGAGCAAACAGGAUUAGAUACCCUGGUAGUCCACGCCGUAAACGAUGAUAACUAGUUGUUCGGUCACUUGGUGACUGAGUGACGCAGCUAACGCAUUAAGUUAUCCGCCUGGGGAGUACGGUCGCAAGNUUAAAACUCAAAGGAAUUGACGG